RNAcentral lists this ribosomal RNA (550 nucleotides) under Fermentozyma sake. RNAcentral's name for it is "[Candida] sake partial large subunit ribosomal RNA". It matches the Rfam family "Eukaryotic large subunit ribosomal RNA", at positions 37 to 601 of the family's 3401-position model. The record is from RNAcentral. Lineage: Eukaryota; Fungi; Ascomycota; Pichiomycetes; Serinales; Debaryomycetaceae.
UGCAUAUCAAUAAGCGGAGGAAAAGAAACCAACCGGGAUUGCCUCAGUAACGGCGAGUGAAGCGGCAAAAGCUCAAAUUUGAAAUCUGCGUAAGCCGAGUUGUAAUUUGAAGAUGGCUACUUUGGUAAUGGCUCUUGUCUAUGUUCCUUGGAACAGGACGUCACAGAGGGUGAGAAUCCCGUGCGAUGAGAUGUCCAUUACCGUGUAAAGUGCUUUCGAAGAGUCGAGUUGUUUGGGAAUGCAGCUCUAAGUGGGUGGUAAAUUCCAUCUAAAGCUAAAUAUUGGCGAGAGACCGAUAGCGAACAAGUACAGUGAUGGAAAGAUGAAAAGAACUUUGAAAAGAGAGUGAAAAAGUACGUGAAAUUGUUGAAAGGGAAGGGCUUGAGAUCAGACUUGGUAUUUUGUAUGGCUUGCUUUCGGGCGGGUCCUCUGCAGUUUACUGGGCCAGCAUCGGUUUGGGUGGCAGGAUAAUAGCGAAGGAAUGUGGCUCUACUUCGGUGGAGUGUUAUAGCCUUUGUUGAUACUGCCUGCCUAGACCGAGGACUGCGUC